CUCAGCUGGCCGCAGAGGAAGGCCAUCGCCAUUGGCGUGGCCCAAGGGCUCUGCCACUUACACCAUGGAUGCAAUAGACCGAUUGUCCACCACAACAUCACCUCUAAUAACAUCUUGCUUGAUCAGGAGUUGAAUGCCAAGAUCGCCAGUUUUGGUGCUGCACAGAUGAACAUGGCCGGGCUCAACCAACCAUUGCCUAUCGCGGGGUUUGUAUUUGGUAGCUUUGGAUAUACAGCUCCAGGUAUGGUGAGCGAUCUAUGCUUGCAAUGA
Molecule: ribosomal RNA, 270 nt
Filed under: Triticum aestivum (bread wheat)
Lineage: Eukaryota; Viridiplantae; Streptophyta; Magnoliopsida; Poales; Poaceae
Description: partial small subunit ribosomal RNA
Source: RNAcentral